AUGAAGCUGGAGCUGGGGCUGGCCACCGAGAACCUUCCUUCCUCCCCUCCCCAGCAAGGGGCAUGUCCCACCAAGCCCGGACGGCCCAUCUGCCCCUGCAGGGUCCCCCGCUCUGGUCGUGGGCUUGGUGAGCUCUGCUGCCCGGCCUCGGGAGUCUGGGGGAGCGCGGCGUCGACCCCUGUGGAGGGAGGACUCCUGUUUCAAGGACAGAGCCUCAUUACCAUGCACGACCAGCCGCAGCCGAGGCCGCAGAGGCCUUUGGCAGGGGGGCCGGGCGGGUGGCAGGGACUGGGUUGGCGGUGGUGGACAGGAGUGGGGGGUCUGUCCUCAACAGGUGGGGCUGGUCUGUGUGCUGGCCCCUGCCAUGCGAUGGCACCCAGGACUCUGGUCCUCCUUCUAAGCCCCAGCAUGUGCCUGGUGCUACGUGGGUGCUGGAGGCACGGCAGCUUCCACGCAGCCGCCCGCAGCAUCACAGCCUGUGCACCGCACAUCCACGCCCUGUUACAAAUGUUCCGUUCAACGCCUUCUAGCACAUUCACAGAUCGUCCGCCGGCACCUCUAGUUCCAGAACUUUCCAUCGCCCCCAAAGGGAAGCCCCGUCCCCUUCAGCAGUCAAUCCCAGCCCCUCCCCAGCCCUGGCCCUGUCUCUGCGGAUUGGCCUGUCCUGGACCAGAUCGUCUGUGGCCUUCAGGCAAUGGGGAGCCAUGGGAGGAUAAGGAGCAAGAACAUGGUGAGAUGUGGGCUGCAGUUGGAAGGCGCGUCCAGCUCUGCGUGGUCCAACCCCGCGUCGCCCUGCCUCCCCCAAACCUGGAAAGUCUUGACUCUCGGCUGCACCUCCAUCUUGAGAGAGCAGGGCGCUACUAUCUCCCUCUGCAACCCGUCACCCACACGCAGAGCUGUGGCCAACGACGGAGCGUGGGGAGGCUGAACUGAACGCCGGGUGCUGAACCAAUGGCCCCUUGUCCACUCCAGAGCCAGGACAAGAACUCAGGGGUCCCCACCUGAAUUGGCCACUGACUGCCUUGGGCAGAGACAUCGAAGUCUCUGAGCCUCAGUUUCCUCUUCUGCAAAAGGGAACCAACCGCAGGGUUCCCAGUCGUCUCCCCGGAACGAGCGAGUGAGAGGUCGGGUGAGGAGUUUCCUUCCAGGGAAGUGUCCACUGAGUGCUGGCUGGGGUCAGGAGCCCCAAGUCCUAGGCCCUGGUCUGCUCCUGGCCAUGCGUUCACCUCAUUCAUUCAUUCAACAAGCAUUCACAAGCAUUCAUUCAUUCAUUCAACAAGCAUUCAUUCAACAAUCAUUCAUUCAUUCAACAAUCCAUUCAUUCAUUCAACAAGCCAUUCAUUCAUCCAACAAGCAUUCAUUCCUUCUUUCAACAAUCAUUCUUUCAACAAGCAUUCAUUCGUUCAUUCAACAAGCAUUCAUUCAUUCAACAAGCACUUAAAAACAAUGCCUGUGUGCCAGGCACUGCUUUUAAGAGAAACAGCAGUGAAGAAAACAGACAAAUCCCUGCAUUCUGUUUAUGGGCGAGAAGCAGAAGAAACAAGGAAAGCCAGCUGUCACAUGGUGGGCCAUGGUAUGGGAAAAAACAAACAGGGAAGGGGGGCUUGGGGUUGGCAGGAUGGGGUUGGCAGAAUGAAGGCCUCCCCACAGCUAACCCGUUCUAAUCCCCGGAACUGCAGAUAAAGCCAGCUUACAUGGAAAAAGGGCCUCUGCAGAUGGGAUUAAGUAAGAAUUGUGAGAUCAGGAGAUCAUCCCGGAUCAUCCAGAGGCCCAACAUCCUCACAGGGUCCUCACGAGAGGAGGCAGGAGGGUGCAAGUCAGAGACAGAUUGGAAGAGGCUGCACUGAGGCUAUGAAGGGAGAGGGUGGGGCCCUGAGCCAAGGGAUGCGGGUGCCUCUGGGCACUGGGAAGGGCAGGAACCGGAUUUUCGCCUGGAGCGCGCAGGAGGGCCCAGCCUUGCCCAUGUCCUGUGUGUGUGUUUUCUUUUUUUUUUUGUUUUUUUAGACAGAGUCUCGCUCUAUCGCCCAGGCUGGAGUGCAGUGGCACAAUCUCAGCUCACUGCAACCUCUGCCUCCCAGGUUCAAGUGAUUCUCCUGCCUCAGCCUCCUGAGUAGCUGGAACUACAGGCGCCCGCCAUCACGCCCAGCUAAUUUUUUGUACUUUUAGUAGAGAUGGAGUUUCACUCUGUUGGCCAGGCUGUUCUUGAUCUCCUGACCUCAGGUGAUCCACCUGCCUCGGCCUCCCAAAGUGCUGGGAUUACGGGCGUGAGCCACCGCACCCAGCCUUAUGCCCUGGUUUGAUGCCAGUGAGGUCCAUUUUGGACUCAGGCCUCCAGAACGGUCAGAUAAUAAAUGUGUGUGGUUCUUAGCCA
Long non-coding RNA from Piliocolobus tephrosceles (Ugandan red Colobus), 2371 nucleotides. Lineage: Eukaryota; Metazoa; Chordata; Mammalia; Primates; Cercopithecidae. The record is from Ensembl.